RNAcentral lists this ribosomal RNA (912 nucleotides) under Aspergillus petrakii. RNAcentral's name for it is "LSU rRNA". It matches the Rfam family "Eukaryotic large subunit ribosomal RNA", at positions 38 to 966 of the family's 3401-position model. The record is from RNAcentral. Lineage: Eukaryota; Fungi; Ascomycota; Eurotiomycetes; Eurotiales; Aspergillaceae.
GCAUAUCAAUAAGCGGAGGAAAGAACCAACCCGGGAUUGCCUCAGUAACGGCGAGUGAAGCGGCAAGAGCUCAAAUUUGAAAUCUGGCCCCCUCGGGGUCCGAGUUGUAAUUUGCAGAGGAUGCUUCGGGUGCGGCCCCCGUCUAAGUGCCCUGGAACGGGCCGUCAUAGAGGGUGAGAAUCCCGUCUGGGACGGGGUGUCCGCGUCCGUGUGAAGCUCCUUCGACGAGUCGAGUUGUUUGGGAAUGCAGCUCUAAAUGGGUGGUAAAUUUCAUCUAAAGCUAAAUACUGGCCGGAGACCGAUAGCGCACAAGUAGAGUGAUCGAAAGAUGAAAAGCACUUUGAAAAGAGAGUUAAAAAGCACGUGAAAUUGUUGAAAGGGAAGCGCUUGCGACCAGACUCGCCCGCGGGGUUCAGCCGGCAUUCGUGCCGGUGUACUUCCCCGCGGGCGGGCCAGCGUCGGUUUGGGCGGCCGGUCAAAGGCCCCCGGAAUGUAGCACCCUUCGGGGUGCCUUAUAGCCGGGGGUGCAAUGCGGCCAGCCUGGACCGAGGAACGCGCUUCGGCACGGACGCUGGCAUAAUGGUCGUAAACGACCCGUCUUGAAACACGGACCAAGGAGUCUAACAUCUACGCGAGUGUUCGGGUGUCAAACCCGUGCGCGCAGUGAAAGCGAACGGAGGUGGGAGCCCCCCCGCGGGGCGCACCAUCGACCGAUCCUGAUGUCUUCGGAUGGAUUUGAGUAAGAGCGUAAAUGUGGGGACCCGAAAGAUGGUGAACUAUGCCUGAAUAGGGCGAAGCCAGAGGAAACUCUGGUGGAGGCUCGCAGCGGUUCUGACGUGCAAAUCGAUCGUCAAAUUUGGGUAUAGGGGCGAAAGACUAAUCGAACCAUCUGGUAGCUGGUUCCUGCCGAAG